AUACAGAGGGUGCAAGCGUUAAUCGGAAUUACUGGGCGUAAAGCGCACGUAGGUGGUUCAUUAAGUCGGAUGUGAAAGCCCCGGGCUCAACCUGGGAACUGCAUUUGAAACUGGUGAGCUAGAGUAUGGUAGAGGUAAGUGGAAUUCCAGGUGUAGCGGUGAAAUGCGUAGAUAUCUGGAGGAACAUCAGUGGCGAAGGCGACUUACUGGACCAAUACUGACACUGAGGUGCGAAAGCGUGGGGAGCAAACAGGAUUAGAAACCCCAGUAGUCC
RNAcentral lists this ribosomal RNA (274 nucleotides) under uncultured bacterium. RNAcentral's name for it is "partial 16S ribosomal RNA". It matches the Rfam family "Bacterial small subunit ribosomal RNA", at positions 523 to 796 of the family's 1533-position model. The record is from RNAcentral.